CUCUUUUUAUCCCUGUUUCAGCCAGGUAAGACUGAACUGCCACAUAAAUGGAUGCUCUCUAGAGCUCCAAGGAAAAGCUAAACUUUGUUUACCAUGAUCCAUAAACCACUUAUCACUGAGUGAAGGCCUCUCCCUGUCCCUUUUCUCCUGCCAUGGAGACCAUAUGGACCUCACCUGGCUUUGUGUUUUGGUUUCCUUCCAGACUUCCCAUUCCUUGCCACACAGUGCAAAGGGCUUCUCCAGCCUACUGUAGAUGACCAUGGAGAAAGGCACUAAGGCAGAGGGCACUAAUGGAACUAAUGAGCUGAUUGUCACCAACUUGUAUAAUGAGGCGUGUCUGGGGGCUGAUCAGAUGAUGCCAUCAAUCCAAGUUCCUCAGAGCACUCCCUCCUUCUGCAGAGCUCCCUGCGAGGCGGUGGGCACCUGCACUGUAUCCUUGCUUUUCAGCCUCCAAGGUGAUGGUUCCCAUAAGAGAGGCAAAAGUGAGGCAUUGAGUGGCUACAGGGUGAUGAUUUUCUGGUCCUUGUCUUAACACUUCAGGGGUGAUUCCUCUGGGAGGUGGUUUGCCUGCUGGUAAAGCCUAUUUAGCAUAAUAAAGUUACCGACCAAGGAGGAGUCCUGUCACCCAGCUCUGACAUAAAAAGGACAGCAACAGGGAUUUGCCUGACUUAAUGGAGGGGUGAGGGCUGGGGGACUGAGCUGGG
Long non-coding RNA from Pogoniulus pusillus (Red-fronted tinkerbird), 704 nucleotides. RefSeq lists it as uncharacterized. The transcript has 2 exons. NCBI's taxonomy places the organism in Eukaryota, Metazoa, Chordata, Aves, Piciformes, Lybiidae. The record is from RefSeq and is a predicted model, not a curated record.